AGCGUAGGCGGACAUUUGAGUCAGGGGUGAAAUCCCGGGGCUCAACCUCGGAAUUGCCUUUGAUACUGGGUGUCUUGAGUAUGAGAGAGGUGUGUGGAACUCCGAGUGUAGAGGUGAAAUUCGUAGAUAUUCGGAAGAACACCAGUGGCGAAGGCGACACACUGGCUCAUUACUGACGCUGAGGCUCGAAAGCGUGGGGAGCAAACA
RNAcentral lists this ribosomal RNA (207 nucleotides) under uncultured bacterium. Its description in RNAcentral is "partial 16S ribosomal RNA". It matches the Rfam family "Bacterial small subunit ribosomal RNA", at positions 568 to 774 of the family's 1533-position model. The record is from RNAcentral.